This is a long non-coding RNA of Drosophila obscura, 675 nucleotides long. RefSeq lists it as uncharacterized. Lineage: Eukaryota; Metazoa; Arthropoda; Insecta; Diptera; Drosophilidae. The record is from RefSeq and is a predicted model, not a curated record. The transcript has 4 exons.
UAGUACUGGCGGUGGCGAUUGACCCUGCCGAACUACCUACUACGCUGGUCCGUACAUGGGUACCCACCGAAGUAACCCUAUGGUAAGCGAACGCGGAACCACUCAAAGAGUAGAAAAUAAUCUUACUCUGUAUACUUUACAACCCACCGCGUACCACCCAGCGAACUAGUUCGAUGGGGCUGCAACGUCUCACCAGUAGAUGAAAGAAACGAAAAAAAACGAAACAAAAGAACAGGCGGCAUUUACGUAGACUUAGGAAGGAAACUAGCGAUAAAUAUGCUAACAAACUAAAACUAGUGAGGGCAGAGACAGUGUCGUCCAGUGAAACAGAAAAAGUUGAGGUACUAUCUGUCCAGGGACUGGUACAGAUGGACAAAGAUAUAAACAGCUCAAACAGAGAUUUAUACAUUGAUGCAAUAAAAACGAUUCUCCUGCCAAGCGGUAUUUUAAAAAAUUUUAAAAAUAUUCUUGCUAAUGCCGUUGUGUUAGCCUAUAACGUGGAUGGAGUGCAAGGCAAGUCGGCUCUGAAAGAUCUUAAGAAUUUUUAUGGAGUUUUGCUUGAGGCAGGGACUGGAUCAGCGGAAAUACAACUAAGAAAAGCUCUUCAGCUGCAAAAAAAACGACAUUUUAAAAAUAUAAGCAACAAUAACAACAACAAAAUAAUAGAUAAUAAUA